RNAcentral lists this ribosomal RNA (468 nucleotides) under uncultured bacterium. RNAcentral describes it as "partial 16S ribosomal RNA". It matches the Rfam family "Bacterial small subunit ribosomal RNA", at positions 28 to 507 of the family's 1533-position model. The record is from RNAcentral.
GACGAACGCUGGCGGCGUGCUUAACACAUGCAAGUCGAACGGAAAGACGCUGCUUGUGUGGGGUGAUCGAGUGGCGAGCGGGUAAGUAACAGGAAAGUACCCUGCGCUGGAGUUUGGGGCAACUUAAGGAGACCGAGGAUAAUACCGGAUAGGAGCACCAGCGGCAUGGAGGGGGUUGGAAAGUUUCGGCGGUUGGGGAUGGACUCGCGGCUUAUCAGCUUGUUGGUGGGGUAGGGGAUGACCAAGGCAGUGACGGGUAGCCGGCCUGAGAGGGUGACCGGCCACAUUGGUCCUACGAGACGGCGCAGUCGCCUACGGUAGGCAGCAGUGGGGAAUAUUGUACAAUGAUCGGACGCCUGAUGAAGCGACGCCGCGGUCGUGAUCACGUCCUUCGGGUUGUAAACCGCUUUCGCCUGAUACGAAGCGUGAGUGACGGUAAUGUGUAAAUAAGCACCGGCUAACUACGUG